UACGAAGGGUGCUAGCGUUGUUCGGAAUUAUUGGGCGUAAAGCGUACGUAGGCGGUUUGGUAAGUCAAUUGUGAAAGCCCUAAGCUCAACUUAGGAACUGCAAUCGAAACUGCCUUACUUGAGUUUGGUCGGGGAUGGUGGAAUUUCUAGUGUAGGGGUGAAAUCCGUAGAUAUUAGAAGGAAUAUCGGUGGCGAAGGCGACCAUCUAGGCCAAUACUGACGCUGAGGUACGAAAGCGUGGGGAGCAAACAGG
Molecule: ribosomal RNA, 253 nt
Filed under: uncultured bacterium
Lineage: Bacteria
Description: partial 16S ribosomal RNA
Rfam family: Bacterial small subunit ribosomal RNA
Source: RNAcentral